This is a non-coding RNA of Cinara cedri, 756 nucleotides long. NCBI's taxonomy places the organism in Eukaryota, Metazoa, Arthropoda, Insecta, Hemiptera, Aphididae. The record is from the annotation of a GenBank genome assembly.
CCCUCUCUGACAACCCCCUCGCGGUCUUUUCGCCCGGGGCCGCGUCCCACUCGGCGGUCGUGACGCCCGCGAUGAUUGCCGCGGUUCCCGAAAACCGCGGCGAGCCGUUAUCACCGAGUAUUAUGAUCGUCGCGUCGCCGCCGUACGCCGUGCGUAACAACGCGUGUAUUUGUAUUUAAUACCGUGCGGCCGCGGUCAUAACGACGCGAGGUGCGCACGCACUCUUCGCGGAUUUUUUAUUAUUUAUUUUUUUUUUUUUCAUUUUUUUCAUUUCGCUCGCGCGUAUUUAUUUUUAUUUUUUUUUUUUUUCGUCUUUCUCGGAUACUGAGAAACUUUUAAAUCCGCGCGAUACUCGAUAACUGUACACUAUAUUGUGUCGCGCACGCGGGACCGUGCGGAAUUAUCGCGGGACGCCUACGCGCACUGGCUCGUCACCGUCCGUCGUUCUCGGUUCAAAUCGGCUACACGUAUACGUAUAUAUAAAUAUACACGCACGCACGGGCGCUUGUAAUUUUAUUCCCGCGACCGUUAUUCAUCUUUCUUCGGUUUUUUUUUUUUUUUUCUAAAACGCGUAAUCGGCACGUACGCGCGCGAUUAAAACGCGAUAUUGUUUUCUGGGUUUUUCGCCGGAUUUCGAUGUUAAAAAACACCGAAUCGCGCCACUGCGAUUAUCCGCUGCACGUCCGGUGUAAAAUCGACGGCCGUCCGUUGUCGCCGCCGCCGUCAGUCUACUUGAUUUUCAUCGUUAUCUUUCCC